RNAcentral lists this ribosomal RNA (391 nucleotides) under uncultured bacterium. Its description in RNAcentral is "bacterial SSU rRNA". It matches the Rfam family "Bacterial small subunit ribosomal RNA", at positions 29 to 420 of the family's 1533-position model. The record is from RNAcentral.
AUUGAACGCUGGCGGCAUGCCUUACACAUGCAAGUCGAACGGUAACGCGGGGCAACCUGGCGACGAGUGGCGAACGGGUGAGUAAAGUAUCGGAACGUGCCCAAUAGUGGGGGAUAGCCCGGCGAAAGCCGGAUUAAUACCGCAUGAGACCUGAGGGUGAAAGCGGGGGACUCGCAAGAGCCUCGCGCUGUUGGAGCGGCCGAUAUCAGAUUAGGUAGUUGGUGGGGUAAAGGCCUACCAAGCCGACGAUCUGUAGCUGGUCUGAGAGGACGACCAGCCACACUGGGACUGAGACACGGCCCAGACUCCUACGGGAGGCAGCAGUGGGGAAUUUUGGACAAUGGGCGCAAGCCUGAUCCAGCCAUGCCGCGUGACGGGAAGAAGGCCUCGG